AGUGAACGCUGGCGGUAGGCCUAACACAUGCAAGUCGAACGGCAGCACAGUAAGAGCUUGCUCUUACGGGUGGCGAGUGGCGGACGGGUGAGGAAUACAUCGGAAUCUACUUUUUCGUGGGGGAUAACGUAGGGAAACUUACGCUAAUACCGCAUACGACCUACGGGUGAAAGCAGGGGAUCUUCGGACCUUGCGCGAUUGAAUGAGCCGAUGUCGGAUUAGCUAGUUGGCGGGGUAAAGGCCCACCAAGGCGACGAUCCGUAGCUGGUCUGAGAGGAUGAUCAGCCACACUGGAACUGAGACACGGUCCAGAAUCCUACGGGAGGCAGCAGUGGGGAAUAUUGGGCAAUGGGCGCAAGCCUGAUCCAGCCAAACCGCGUGGGUGAAGAAGGCCUUCGGAUUGUAUAGCCCUUUUGUUGGGAAAGAAAAGCAGAAGGUUAAUACCCCGCUGUUCUGACGGUACCCAAAGAAUAAGCACAGGCUAACUUCGUG
RNAcentral lists this ribosomal RNA (492 nucleotides) under uncultured bacterium. Its description in RNAcentral is "partial 16S ribosomal RNA". It matches the Rfam family "Bacterial small subunit ribosomal RNA", at positions 29 to 507 of the family's 1533-position model. The record is from RNAcentral.